This 460-nucleotide ribosomal RNA is filed under the name uncultured bacterium. RNAcentral's name for it is "partial 16S ribosomal RNA". It matches the Rfam family "Bacterial small subunit ribosomal RNA", at positions 338 to 795 of the family's 1533-position model. The record is from RNAcentral.
CCUACGGGGUGCAGCAGUGAGGAAUAUUGGUCAAUGGGCGCGAGCCUGAACCAGCCAAGUAGCGUGAAGGAUGACUGCCCUACGGGUUGUAAACUUCUUUUAUAAAGGAAUAAAGUGAGGCACGUGUGCCUUUUUGUAUGUACUUUAUGAAUAAGGAUCGGCUAACUCCGUGCCAGCAGCCGCGGUAAUACGGAGGAUCCGAGCGUUAUCCGGAUUUAUAGGGUGUAAAGGGAGCGUAGAUGGGUGGUUAAGUCAGUUGUGAAAGUUUGCGGCUCAACCGUAAAAUUGCAAUUGAUACUGGAAGUAUGGAGGACAGGUGAGGUAGGUGGAAUUCGUGGUGUAGCGGUGAAAUGCGUAGAUAUCAGGAAGAACUCCGGUGGCGAAGGCAGCUUACUAAACUGCAACUGACAUUGAUGCUCGAAAGUGUGGGGAUCAAACAGGAUUAGAUACCCCGGUAGUC